GAAACAAUUGUCAUUAGUGUCGUACUAUAUAAUGGCGGUGUCUUUUAAGAAUAAGACAUACAUAUUUUAAGUUAAUUACAUGAAAAGGAACGUUUGCUCCCAAUAAAAAUCUAUUGUACAAUCAACAUUUUUGGAAGAAACUAAUCAAUUUCUGUUUCCUCCUUUUGUGAGGAGUUGGCCCUUAAUCCACAUAGUCGACGAUGAAAACCACGUGGGAAUAAACCACUAACUUCAGCUAUUUUUGACAACACAAGACACUAACAUGGUCAACAUCCAAGGCCUACACACUUCAUCUGGAUCCAACAACAUCCAGUUCCAACCUCCACACAGAACCACGCAAUUCGUCAAUACUUCUAUACCAUACCUAAGUAUCAUUCCAUCUUUGUAAAGCUAUAGGCAGGAUUUGCUUGCACACAUAAAGUAUCAUUAUAUAACUUUGUUUUAUGAUAAAUAAAUAUGAUUAAUUCUU
Molecule: long non-coding RNA, 469 nt
Organism: Diabrotica virgifera virgifera (western corn rootworm)
Lineage: Eukaryota; Metazoa; Arthropoda; Insecta; Coleoptera; Chrysomelidae
Exons: 2
Source: RefSeq, a predicted model, not a curated record